This 305-nucleotide ribosomal RNA is filed under the name uncultured bacterium. RNAcentral describes it as "partial 16S ribosomal RNA". It matches the Rfam family "Bacterial small subunit ribosomal RNA", at positions 508 to 807 of the family's 1533-position model. The record is from RNAcentral.
ACAGCAGUCGCCGCGGUAAUACGGAGGGAGCUAGCGUUGUUCGGAAUUACUGGGCGUAAAGCGCACGUAGGCGGUUAUUCAAGUCAGAGGUGAAAGCCCGGGGCUCAACCCCGGAACUGCCUUUGAAACUAGAUGACUGGAAUCUUGGAGAGGUCAGUGGAAUUCCGAGUGUAGAGGUGAAAUUCGUAGAUAUUCGGAAGAACACCAGUGGCGAAGGCGACUGACUGGACAAGUAUUGACGCUGAGGUGCGAAAGCGUGGGGAGCAAACAGGAUUAGAUACCCGCGUAGUCCCUGUCUCUUAUAC